This 637-nucleotide small RNA is filed under the name uncultured fungus. RNAcentral's name for it is "eukaryotic LSU rRNA". The stretch from base 214 to 368 matches the Rfam family "5.8S ribosomal RNA". The record is from RNAcentral. Lineage: Eukaryota; Fungi.
GGAAGGAUCAUUACAGAAUUGUCAACGGGUUGUUGCUGGUCCUCGAACGGGGACAUGUGCACGCUCUGUUUACACAUCCACUCACACCUGUGCACCCUCCGUAGUUCUGUGGUCUGGGGGACCCUGUCUUCCUGCCGUGGUUCUACGUCUUUACACACACACACUGUAAUAAAGUCUUAUGGAAUGUAUGCCGCGUCUAACGCAAUACAAUACAACUUUCAGCAACGGAUCUCUUGGCUCUCGCAUCGAUGAAGAACGCAGCGAAAUGCGAUAAGUAAUGUGAAUUGCAGAAUUCAGUGAAUCAUCGAAUCUUUGAACGCACCUUGCGCCCCUUGGCUAUUCCGAGGGGCAUGCCUGUUUGAGUAUCAUGAACACCUCAACUCUCAUGGUUCGCCGUGAUGAGCUUGGACUCUGGGGGUUUUGCUGGCCUGCGGUCGGCUCCCCUCAAAUGAAUCAGCCUCCCAGUGUUUGGUGGCAUCACGGGUGUGAUAAAUAUCUACGCUCGCAGUUGUCCACCGGGUAACCUUUGGCGACAAAGGUUUGCUGGAGCUCACAGAUGUCUCUCCUCGGCGAAGACAGCUUUUUGAACGUUCGAUCUCAAAUCAGGUAGGACUACCCGCUGAACUUAAGCAUAUCA